This 162-nucleotide ribosomal RNA is filed under the name uncultured bacterium. RNAcentral describes it as "partial 16S rRNA". It matches the Rfam family "Bacterial small subunit ribosomal RNA", at positions 355 to 507 of the family's 1533-position model. The record is from RNAcentral.
UAGGGAAUCUUCCGCAAUGGACGAAAGUCUGACGGAGCGACGCCGCGUGAGCGAAGAAGGUCUUCGGAUCGUAAAGCUCUGUUGUUAGGGAAGAAGAAGUGCCGUUCGAACAGGGCGGCACGGUGACGGUACCUAACGAGAAAGCCCCGGCUAACUUACGUG